Molecule: ribosomal RNA, 253 nt
Filed under: uncultured bacterium
Lineage: Bacteria
Description: partial 16S ribosomal RNA
Rfam family: Bacterial small subunit ribosomal RNA
Source: RNAcentral
GACGUAGGGCGCGAGCGUUGUCCGGAUUUAUUGGGCGUAAAGAGCUCGUAGGCGGUCUGUCGCGUCUGCUGUGAAAACUCAGGGCUUAACCCUGAGCUUGCAGUGGGUACGGGCAGACUAGAGUGCGGUAGGGGAGACUGGAAUUCCUGGUGUAGCGGUGAAAUGCGCAGAUAUCAGGAGGAACACCGGUGGCGAAGGCGGGUCUCUGGGCCGUAACUGACGCUGAGGAGCGAAAGCUAGGGGAGCGAAAGGG